AGGCUUUGCAUAUUUAGACGGACAAGACAAGAAAAAUCAGAAAAAAUAGAAAGAAAAAAAAAAGAGGGAAAAAAGAGAGAGAUCGCGGUUGCAACGGCCAGGCAGGCCACCCUCCACCUCAACACAUCUGGCUGCAAAUUUUGCAAGUCAAUGUGAGCAAUCAUUCCUUCGUUCUCUCCCUCCUCUCUUUCUCUUCAAAACACCCCAACUUUCUCUCCAUUUUCUUUGGGAAAAAGAAAAAUACCCAGUAAAAUCUGCGAUUUCCCCACCUCGAAUUCGCCUGCACCACCAUCGUUCCCGCCUCCAAUUUUGUGUCCUUUUUUUUUUUAUUCUCUGGGUGCCCAAACGGUGGUGCUUGCUGGGCAAUGAGUUAGGUCUCAAUUACCUAUCUAUUUCUUCAAAUUUUAUUGAAUUAAUUGUAUUUUGUUUGAAUUUAGAGCUUUGAAUUUUGAGGGUGGUUUGGGAAAUUUGAAAAAGUUCGGUACUUUGGAAGAUGCAGCAUAAUAUAUUUACUACAAUGCGGAGCUUGAAGAUCAUGGAUGGGUGUAAAGGAAGUCAAGUUUUCGCGCUUAAUCCUUCCGGAGCUACUGCCGCCGGCGGAAACGGCGGUGGUGGUGGUGGUUCGGGGGACAAGCUUCUUUACGACCAUCUCCGGGUCAACUCGAUUCGAUCCAGAGCGAGUCGGGGCAGUUUUCAGGCUCCGAACCCUACCGCCAACAAUGUUUUGCUCGAGACUCUUCUCCCUUACGGUCUGCCGGUGUCCGAUCUCCUUGAGCCCCAAAUCGAACCAUCCCUCAAAUCGGUCGAUUUUGUGGAAACCCUAGCUGAUGUGUACCGUAGGAUUGUGAUUUGCCCCCAAUUCGAGAAGUGGAAGAUGUAUUUGGAGCAAUGUGCGACGUUUCGGGGCCUUUCGGAUCCGAAAUUGUUCCGGCGGAGCCUCAGGUCGGCGAGGCAGCACGCGGUUGAUGUGCACUCGAAGGUGGUGCUGACGUCUUGGUUGAGGUAUGAGAGGAGAGAGGAUGAGCUUAUUGGGUCGUCAGCAAUGUAUUGUUGUGGUAGAAAUGUUGAAUGUCCGAAGGCUAGUUUGGUUUCCGGGUACGAUCCUGAGUCUGUUUUUGAGUCUUGUAUGUGUUCUAGGACGCCGCAGGGGCAAGGUGACGAUGAUGAUCUUGUGAUGGGGGAUGAGGAAUGUUCCACUUCGGAGGAGGAUGGUGAUAUGUCGUUUUGUAUUGGAGAUGCCGAGAUUAGGUGUGUUCGAUACAACAUUGCUUCGCUUUCGAGGCCUUUUAAUGCAAUGUUGGGUAACUUCACGGAGACACGAAGGGAGAAGAUAAAUUUCACACAGAAUGGGAUAUCUGUGGAGGCAAUGAGGGCAGUGGAGAUUUUUAGCAGGAUAAAAAGAGUAGAUUCUUUUGAAGUGAAAACUGUUUUGGACCUGCUAUCCUUUGCAAACACGUUUUGUUGCGAUGAGUUGAAGACGGCAUGUGAUUCUCAUUUGGCAUCUCUGGUUUGUGAACUGGAAGAUGCAAUGCUGCUGAUUGACUAUGGGUUGGAGGAGACUGCUCAUUUUCUCGUGGCAGCUUGUUUGCAGGUGUUUUUGAGGGAGCUACCGAGUUCGUUGCACAAUUCUCAUAUGAUGAGAUUAUUUUGUACUUCAGAAGCUAGGCAAAGGUUGGCUAUGUCCGGGCACUCUUCUUUCAUUUUGUAUUAUUUUUUGAGCCAGGUUGCUAUUGAGGAUGACAUGAGAUCGAACACAACGGUGAUGCUUCUAGAGAGGCUGGCAGAGUGUGCCACCGAAAGUUGGCAGAAGCAACUUGCAUUUCACCUGUUGGGUGUUGUGAUGCUUGAGAGGAAAGAAUUUAAAGAUGCUCAGUGGUGGUUUGAAGCAGCAGUAGAGGUUGGUCAUAUUUAUUCCUUGGUGGGCAUUGCAAGGGCCAAGUUCAAGCGUGGCCAUAAGUAUGCGGCUUACAAGCAAAUGAACUCUCUCAUUUCUGAUUAUACACCGGUUGGGUGGAUGUAUCAGGAGCGAUCUCUGUAUUGUAUUGGAAAGGAAAAGAUGAUGGAUUUGAGCACCGCUACUCACUUGGAUCCAACUCUAUCUUAUCCAUACAAGUAUAGGGCUGUUUCUUUGUUGGAGGAGAACCAGUUUGAAGCAGCUAUUACAGAGAUCAAUAAGAUAAUUAGUUUCAAGGUCUCCCCUGAUUGUCUCGAAUUGAGGGCUUGGUUUUCAAUUGCCCUCGAAGAUUUUGAAGGAGCUCUCAGAGAUGUCCGGGCACUCUUGACUUUGGACCCAAAUUACAUGAUGUUUCAUGGGAAAAUGCAUGGUGACCAUCUGGUAGAGCUGCUCUGCCCUUUUGUUCAACAGUGGAGUCAGGCUGAUUGUUGGAUGCAACUAUAUGAUCGAUGGUCCUCUGUUGAUGAUAUUGGUUCUCUAGCUGUUGUACAUCAUAUGUUGGCAAAUGACCCUGGGAAGAGCCUUCUACGCUUUAGGCAGUCUCUCCUUCUGUUGCGGUUAAAUUGUCAAAAGGCUGCUAUGCAUAGUCUGCGGUUGGCCCGGAAUCAUUCUAGUUCUGAGCAUGAGAGGCUUGUCUAUGAAGGAUGGAUCUUGUAUGACACUGGCCAUCGGGAAGAAGCAUUGGCAAAGGCAGAGGAGUCCAUUGCUAUCCAGAGAUCGUUUGAAGCAUUUUUCCUUAAAGCAUAUGCUUUAGCAGACUCAAGUCUUGAUUCUGAUUCUUCAACAUAUGUGAUCCAGCUUCUAGAGGAAGCACUUAGAUGCCCUUCGGAUGGUCUUAGAAAAGGACAAGCACUAAAUAAUUUAGGAAGUGUCUAUGUAGAUUCUGAUAAGCUGGAUCUUGCUGCCGAUUGCUACACAAAUGCACUCAACAUUAAGCAUACGAGAGCACAUCAGGGUCUAGCACGAGUAUAUCAUCUUAAAAAUCAACGCAAGGCUGCAUAUGAUGAGAUGACAAAGCUGAUAGAGAAGGCUCGAAACAAUGCAUCAGCUUUUGAGAAACGUUCAGAAUACUGUGACCGUGACAUGGCAAAGAGUGAUCUAAGUAUGGCAACACAACUAGAUCCCCUGAGGACAUAUCCGUACAGAUAUAGGGCAGCAGUUUUGAUGGAUGACCACAAAGAAGGAGAAGCCAUCGAAGAGCUAACAAAAGCCAUAACUUUCAAGCUAGACCUGCAACUGCUACAUCUUCGAGCAGCAUUCCACGAGUCAAUGAGCAAUUUUGUUUUCACUGUGCGAGACUGUGAAGCAGCCCUCUGUCUUGAUCCCAACCAUGCUGACACUCAGGAACUCUAUUCUAAAGCACGGGAACGUGUCAAUGAACAAAAGAAGUGAGAGAACCACGGAGCGAUUAUUCUUUACCGUCUUUGGGGCAAUCAUGCUGUUGCUACCCGAUUCAUUUAACAUGGGAAUGGGCAGCAAUUGUCAGCAUAGGGCAAUCCGUUGGAUUUUGUCUCUAGAAGCGUACAAUUGUAGAUUCCCAUGGCCUUGGAAAAGGGUAUGUAAAGCGGAAGCAAGGAGAGAAUUUGGAUUCACGGAGGAGAGUAGAGAGCAGCAAGAUAGCGUGUAAAUAGAUCAGCUGUUUAUUGAUUGGAUCAACUUAUUAAGUAGCGCAGAGACCUGCUGCUGCUACUGUCUGACAUACUACUCCAGCAAAGACGGGAGCGGAAGUAACCAAAGGCGAAAAGUAUCUUGUACAUGAUCAUCUUGAAGCUAAAGCUUGCAGAGUCAAGCCACGAGAUGGAUCAAACGUGUCCGGACUUCAUCAUCGAGCGGUUUCUUCCGGAUGCCACUGCAUUGGCUGCAUCAUCUACACUGAAGCUAAAUGUGUCACAAAUCAGUUCAAGCAAGAGACUCCGCUAUCCGUGGAAUUAUACCGGCACGGCGGAGGCUUGUGUUUCGAGAACGGUGUGCAGGUUUUCUUCCCUUGGCGGAUGAAGCAUAAGCUCUGUGGAGUGAAAAGCCCUGUCAAUGAACAAGUUCAGUGCAGUGUAAAACGCAAGAGAAAUAGAUCAUAAGCUUCGUACUACUUGAUGUAUUGUAUAGCUAUAACUUUUUUUUAUGGUAUUAGUCUGGUUAGCCCACGUGUGAAUCCCAACGAUCACACGUGUUUCAUGUCAUCCUAUAUUUCUUGUGCAAUGUAUUUUACCUUAAGUUCACACACU
Molecule: RNA transcript, 4176 nt
Organism: Malus domestica (apple)
Lineage: Eukaryota; Viridiplantae; Streptophyta; Magnoliopsida; Rosales; Rosaceae
Gene name: ethylene-overproduction protein 1-like
Source: RefSeq, a predicted model, not a curated record